RNAcentral lists this long non-coding RNA (601 nucleotides) under Elaeis guineensis (African oil palm). Its description in RNAcentral is "long non-coding RNA (EGUI_LNC022414)". The record is from RNAcentral. Lineage: Eukaryota; Viridiplantae; Streptophyta; Magnoliopsida; Arecales; Arecaceae.
UAAUAAAACAUGCUUUUUCAUAUCACAUAUGCCGAUCCUUAUUUUAUGAAAAAUUAUGAUUUCAUCAAUAGCAAUUCUUUACAUAAAAAUAUGAUCAUUUAAAAAUAAAUAAGGAGCAUAAGAUUCACUUACAUCGUUCAUCUUAGAUCUUCAGACUUCGUUAGAAGAAUCAGCUAAUCCUAUUUAAAAUAUCAAAUCAUUAUCAAAUUCUAUUCCAUAAAUAUAACAAGAUUAAAUCAUAAAGAAAGAGGACUGUUGUCCGGAUAUGUCGGACCAUCCAGAUACCAGAGCAAUUCAGGGUCUCUGAUCUGAGGGUCAGAUUUAAGUGACUUGAUCAAAAAAUCGUGAAGCACAGAUCGAAUUAAGAUCAAGAUCAAUCAACAGGGUUCUUUAAUAAUGGGUUUGAAAAAUAUUUGAUAUGGCCAAAUGAAGUUGACAUACAGCACGGAUAUCAAAGCAACUUCAGAUCAUCUUGUUAGAGUCAAUAUGAGCCCCUAAAAGAUGAAGGCAUGACUCGAUACAAGAUUCAUAGUCCUUCUUAGAGAGAGAAAGUCAAUCAUGAGAGAGAAAGUAGAGAGAGAAAGUGGAGAGAGAAUCUUCG